This 64-nucleotide transfer RNA is filed under the name Dipodomys ordii (Ord's kangaroo rat). It matches the Rfam family "tRNA". Rfam says of the family: Transfer RNA (tRNA) molecules are approximately 80 nucleotides in length. Their secondary structure includes four short double-helical elements and three loops (D, anti-codon, and T loops). Lineage: Eukaryota; Metazoa; Chordata; Mammalia; Rodentia; Heteromyidae. The record is from Rfam by way of RNAcentral.
GGGAAGUUAGCUCAGUGGUAGAGUGCUUGCCUUGCAUGCAUGAGGCCCUGGGUUUGAUUACUCA